GGAUGUGAGGGCGAUCUGGCUGCGACAUCUGUCACCCCAUUGAUCGCCAGGGUUGAUUCGGCUGAUCUGGCUGGCUAGGUGGGUGUAGCCCUUCCUCCCUCACUGCUCCAUGUGCGUCCCUUCGGAAGCUGAGCUCCUUUGAAGAGGACAACCAUCCCUGAUAGAGGAAGACCGGUCUUCGGUCAAGGGUAUACGAGUAGCUGCGCUCCCCUGCUAGAACCUCCAAACAAGCUCUGAAGGGAGAUUGUGUUUUGAGAGCAGCCCACGAUGAAAUGUUUAUGAGACUCUAUUUCAACAAAAAACUGGACAUGGUAGUU
Unclassified non-coding RNA from Dipodomys ordii (Ord's kangaroo rat), 317 nucleotides. Its record names the gene 7SK. It matches the Rfam family "7SK RNA". Rfam says of the family: 7SK was discovered as an abundant small nuclear RNA in the mid-70s but a possible function has only recently been suggested. Two independent studies have found that 7SK RNA binds the CDK9/cyclin T complex (known as elongation factor P-TEFb). P-TEFb activates transcription by phosphorylating the C-terminal domain of RNA polymerase II. The record is from Ensembl. Lineage: Eukaryota; Metazoa; Chordata; Mammalia; Rodentia; Heteromyidae.